AUGGCCGCACUCUGCCUCACGGCUCCGGCGAUCGCGAGGUGGUCCCCGCCACCGUCCCCCCGGCGGUGGCAGCACCCCCUGUGCCAGGACUGCGCCAGGCGUCGCAGGGGCCUUGCGCGGCGGCGGGCCAGUGGAGACGACGGGCCGGAGGAGGCGGAGGCACCGCCGGUGAGGACCCUCCUGGUUGACAACUACGACAGCUACACCUACAACCUCUUCCAGGAGCUCUCGGUCGUCAAUGGAGUGCCGCCUGUGGUGGUGCGCAACGACGAGUGGGCAUGGGGGGACGUGUACUACUGGGUGUACAAGAAGAGGGCCUUUGACAACAUCGUGAUCUCGCCUGGCCCUGGAUCUCCGGCGUGUCCUGGCGACAUAGGUCUGUGUCUCCGGAUAGUUUCUGAGUGCGGAGAUAUACCCAUCCUGGGUGUCUGCCUUGGCCACCAGGCAUUGGGGUUAGUACAUGGCGCUAAAAUUGUUCACGCUCCUGAAGCUAUACAUGGACGACUUAGUGAAAUUGAACAUAAUGGAAGCUACCUCUUUAAUCAUAUCCCGUCGGGUAUAAACUCUGGAUUCAAGGUAGUGCGCUACCAUUCACUUGUAAUAGAAGCAACCUCACUGCCUGAGGAUCUUGUGUCAAUAGCAUGGUGUGCCUCUCCCAAAAUGCUAUCUUUUGUAGAUAGCGAUCAGGGUGAUAAUUGUCCCUUAUUGGGAUCAUUAAAUAACUUUUCCAUUACACACCCUUCGGAAGUAACUAACAAUAGAGAAGUGCCGAUUACCAUACACAAUCCUGGUAAACCAGAUGGCUACAAGAUAAUCAUGGGUAUCAAGCAUUCUAGCAGGCCUCAUUAUGGAGUGCAGUUUCAUCCAGAGAGUAUUGCUACUCGUUAUGGAAGACAUAUUUUUCAGAACUUCAAGAGGAUAACAACCGAAUAUGGAUCACCGUCAUCUUCGUUUCUGGAAAGAAAGGCUCACAGUGCUGAUCAAUGCAAUUAUGUCCCGAAGGGCUUGUUGCACACUGAAAGACUGGAGCUUCGCGAUUCUGUUGAGGCUCGCAUGCUUCCAGAGAGAAGCAGCGAGAAAAAAUAUUUACGUUUGAGAUGGAAGAGGAUUGAUAACUUCCUCAGCCGCACAGGUGGAUCUGAAGAUAUUUUUUCAUUGCUUUUUGGUCAUGAAAACGCUGAUGAUACAUUUUGGCUGGACAGCUCAUCAGUCGACCAGAAUAGGGCACGUUUUUCAUUCAUGGGUGGUAAGGGCGGACCUCUGUGGAAGCAAAUGACAUUUCACCUCUCCAAUCAAAGUUCUGAAGGGAACAUUACUAUUCGACGUGCUGACGGAUCUGCUGUGAAAAACACUCUCAAAGAUGGCUUCUUGGAAUUUCUUCACAAGGAAAUUCAGUCCAUUCAAAACAAUGAAGAGGAUUUUCAAGGGCUUCCAUUUGAAUUCCACGGUGGCUUUGUUGGAUAUCUAGGGUAUGGUCUUAAAGUUGAAUGUGAUGCAUCAUCUAACAAAGCUAAAUCAAGUACUCCUGAUGCAUGCUUCUUCUUUGCUGAUAACCUUGUGGUGAUCGAUCACAACAAUGGUGAUGUAUAUAUUCUAUCAUUAUAUGAUGAGUAUUCUUCAAAUAAUGGGAAUGGAAUUUAUGGUAAUGCAACACAUACUUCAUGGUUACUGGAGACUGAGAAGAGGCUUCUCAGGAUGGUUGCUAUGGCGCCCACACUACCGAUUAAUAGAAAUUCGCUGGUCGGAUCAAGAGAUGUGAAUAAGCAUAGUUUUGUUGUAGAAAAAUCAAAGGAUCAAUACAUUAAGGAUGUUCAGAGUUGCCUGGAUUUUAUCAGAGACGGAGAAAGUUAUGAGUUGUGCCUGACUACUCGUAUGAGGAGAAGGAUAGAAAAUAUAAAUGCCCUGCAACUAUACCUUAAAUUGAGAAAGCAAAAUCCUGCCCCCUAUGCAGCCUGGUUUAACUUCUCCUCAGUCAACCUGAGUAUAUGUUGCUCUUCUCCUGAACGGUUUCUGAGAGGCAAAACCAAUCAAAGGUACUAUAGCACGUGGCAGAACACCCGAGGAAGAUGA
This 2070-nucleotide ribosomal RNA is filed under the name Triticum aestivum (bread wheat). RNAcentral describes it as "partial small subunit ribosomal RNA". Lineage: Eukaryota; Viridiplantae; Streptophyta; Magnoliopsida; Poales; Poaceae. The record is from RNAcentral.